AGAUUUGAUCACAAAGGAACAGGUGCAACCUGACUAUGCCAAAUGAUAGCAAGGACCCCCGGAGGGCAAGGACCGAGCUUUAAAGAGUUUCCACUAUGUUCCACAGUCCUGGCCGCCUCAGUGAUGUUGUCCCCUGGACCCUUGGCUGGACCCGCCUGGGUCUGGGAAUCCAAGAUGGCCGUCCAGUCUCUGUUAGCUUCCAGCCAACCACCUGCAGGAAGAGGUUAUAAAAUGGGCUUGACAAACAUCAGAUCAAUCUUCCCAUCCUCCAUGUCUACUGACUGUAAGAGAUACAGAGUGAGAGGAUGUUGGAUCAAGAAAUCUGAUAUGAGCACCCUGCUAUGGAGCAUUUUCUGAUUGGGC
This is a long non-coding RNA of Oncorhynchus keta (chum salmon), 363 nucleotides long. RefSeq lists it as uncharacterized. NCBI's taxonomy places the organism in Eukaryota, Metazoa, Chordata, Actinopteri, Salmoniformes, Salmonidae. The record is from RefSeq and is a predicted model, not a curated record. The transcript is spliced from 3 exons.